This 259-nucleotide ribosomal RNA is filed under the name uncultured bacterium. RNAcentral's name for it is "partial 16S ribosomal RNA". It matches the Rfam family "Bacterial small subunit ribosomal RNA", at positions 793 to 1055 of the family's 1533-position model. The record is from RNAcentral.
GUCCACGCAGUAAACGAUGAAUACUAGCUGUAUGCGAUAUACUGUAUGCGGCACAGCGAAAGCGUUAAGUAUUCCACCUGGGGAGUACGUUCGCAAGAAUGAAACUCAAAGGAAUUGACGGGGGCCCGCACAAGCGGAGGAACAUGUGGUUUAAUUCGAUGAUACGCGAGGAACCUUACCCGGGCUUGAAAUGUAGAGGAAUUAUGUGGAAACAUGUAAGUCAGCAAUGACCUCUAUGUAGGUGCUGCAUGGUUGUCGU